GCAAACACUGCAUUUUCCUUAGUCAACCUGUCCAAUAGUUAGCUCUGGGUGGUCUGGGCAUGGCUGGACUGGUGGCCACGCGUGAGGUACGGUGCUGGUAGGUCAGUUAGCAUAUGAUUUUGACCUUAAUACUUGGCGCGACAACAUCAAAGCUCAAAGCCAGUAAACAAUGGUGAUAUAGGUUAGUUGCAUUUGUGGUGCCAUGUUCUUAAUUUUGUAACAAAAUUGUUUUUUCUAGAGCUAGCACGGAAGACUUCAAAUCCAUAAAUUACCUGUGACCAAAAAAAAUGGAAAAUGACCCUCGAGGCUCAUUAGCUUUCACUUCUCAUUUUUCACACAUGUCCGGUUGUGUUGGAUGGAUCUUUGUAACUCCUUCAACAAGGUGUUAUAUAUAUAUUACCCUAAGCAUCACUUAUUGUUCUUAUCACCUAACCCCGGUAAUGGAUUGGCCUGGUCUCACCGGUUUUAGUGAUUUAGUUUUCAUAAUUAGUCUAGACUGGUUUUGUGGAAAAUUGGGUGAGAUAUAAAACAUUCAAUAAUAAGAAUAUUAUCAUGGCUAUAUGUGUGACCUAUAUCAAUAGUCGGACCCUAAAAUUAAAACCUCCAGUUCACACCUUAAAAUUCUAAUGAAAUUGACUGGAAAUUGUUAAAGAUUUAUCAGAAUGACAGUCAAAGACAUAAAAAUGCUUGUAAUAUAAUCAACAACAAUCUGACAUAGUUUUUUUUUCAUUCAGCCAGCUUAGUUAAAAACAAAUGACGAUAAUUUCCGACUUUCUGAGCACAAGAUAUAUAGCUGAAAGGUCUGACGCGAGAGGGAUAGAAGCACCGUAGCACAUGAUAGCACCAAUAUAAUUUCAAUGGAUUAGACCCCUCUGACUUCAUCUUUAACUUGCAGUAAUAUCCUCUUCAAUUUGCAGUGAUAUCCCAUUCAAUGUCUUUAGUCUCUGUUUUGUUGGGAUUAACAUGUACGUGCAGUAGUGCAGAUUAU
RNAcentral lists this long non-coding RNA (988 nucleotides) under Setaria viridis. RNAcentral describes it as "long non-coding RNA (SVIR_LNC002206)". Lineage: Eukaryota; Viridiplantae; Streptophyta; Magnoliopsida; Poales; Poaceae. The record is from RNAcentral.